CCCCCUCCAUCUUAUCUGCAAUCAGAGACGACCUCUGAAAAGGCUUUUCCUGGGCAGGCAGAAAGGCUAUCAGCCGUCUCGGAUCAGCUGGACAAAAUAUGAAAUUUGUUGGAAUAGAAGUUUCUUUCUUCAUUCUCUUCACCCACUCUGCUCUUUGGAAUGUAGGAGCUCAAGACUCUUGCUCACAUCGUUGUGGAGAGCUGCUUGAUACCUGUUCCUGCCAGGUGACAUGCCAGUCCUUGCAGAUUUGCUGCCCUGAUUAUAAAGAAUUUUGUCUUCAAAUUUCUCCAUAUUCGGGAUCUCUGAUGGGAGGCAAAGACUUUUUGAUUGAAAAUACAGCUUUCAGUGCCUCUUCUGU
This is a long non-coding RNA of Dryobates pubescens (Downy woodpecker), 358 nucleotides long. RefSeq lists it as uncharacterized. The record is from RefSeq and is a predicted model, not a curated record. Lineage: Eukaryota; Metazoa; Chordata; Aves; Piciformes; Picidae. The transcript is spliced from 3 exons.